This 768-nucleotide ribosomal RNA is filed under the name uncultured bacterium. RNAcentral describes it as "bacterial SSU rRNA". It matches the Rfam family "Bacterial small subunit ribosomal RNA", at positions 84 to 848 of the family's 1533-position model. The record is from RNAcentral.
CCGAAAGACGAGUGGCGAACGGGUGCGUAACGCGUAUGCAAUCUGCCUUUUACUAGGGUAUAGCCCAGAGAAAUUUGGAUUAAUCCCCUAUAAUAUCAUUUAAUCGCAUGAUUUUAUGAUUAAAGCUUCGGCGGUAAAAGAUGAGCAUGCGUCCUAUUAGUUAGUAGGUGAGGUAACGGCUCACCUAGACUCCGAUAGGUAGGGGUCCUGAGAGGGAGAUCCCCCACACUGGUACUGAGACACGGACCAGACUCCUACGGGAGGCAGCAGUGAGGAAUAUUGGACAAUGGACGAAAGUCUGAUCCAGCUAUGCCGCGUGCAGGAUGACGGCCCUAUGGGUUGUAAACUGCUUUUAUACAGGAAGAAAAACUCCGACGUGUCGGAACUUGACGGUACUGUAAGAAUAAGGAUCGGCUAACUCCGUGCCAGCAGCCGCGGUAAUACGGAGGAUCCAAGCAUUAUCCGGAAUCAUUGGGUUUAAAGGGUCCGUAGGCGGUUUUUUAAGUCAGAGGUGAAAUCCUGCAGCUCAACUGUAGAAUUGCCUUUGAUACUGAAAGACUUGAGUUAUUGUGAAGUGGUUAGAAUGUGUGGUGUAGCGGUGAAAUGCAUAGAUAUCACACAGAAUACCAAUUGCGAAGGCAGAUCACUAACAAUAUACUGACGCUCAGGGACGAAAGCGUGGGUAGCGAACAGGAUUAGAUACCCUGGUAGUCCACGCCGUAAACGAUGGAUACUAGCUGUAUGUCUACUUCAGGUAGAUGUGUGGCU